RNAcentral lists this ribosomal RNA (253 nucleotides) under uncultured bacterium. Its description in RNAcentral is "partial 16S ribosomal RNA". It matches the Rfam family "Bacterial small subunit ribosomal RNA", at positions 524 to 776 of the family's 1533-position model. The record is from RNAcentral.
UACAGAGGGGGCAAGCGUUGUUCGGAAUUACUGGGCGUAAGGGGCGCGUAGGCGACCUGCUAAGUCGAACGUGAAAUCCCUGGGCUCAACCCAGGAACUGCGUCCGAUACUGGUUGGCUUGAAUCCGGGAGAGGGAUGUGGAAUUCCAGGUGUAGCGGUGAAAUGCGUAGAUAUCUGGAGGAACACCGGUGGCGAAGGCGACAUCCUGGACCGGCAUUGACGCUGAGGCGCGAAAGCCAGGGGAGCAAACGGG